Molecule: long non-coding RNA, 697 nt
Organism: Homo sapiens (human)
Lineage: Eukaryota; Metazoa; Chordata; Mammalia; Primates; Hominidae
Exons: 2
Source: RefSeq, a predicted model, not a curated record
CAUUGUGUAUUCGGUAAUUUAUGUUGUAAUAGGUACCACAAAGUAAAGGUUGAAAAUGCAUGAUUUCACUUUGGUUCUUUUCUUUUGCCCAAACUAACUAGAAAUGACCUUGGUGCACACGGUCGAGGGUUCAGCUUAGUGGCUUGGCCAUAAAAUUGCAUCCAUCAACUUGGAUCUGCAACUGAAGGCAGGAUUAUUCUGUUAAGAAAAAUGAAGCGAUAGACCGCUGCUUUGCUUCUAUGGACACUAGAUCGAUCUGGAAUUAAGUGUAAGAUAAGAGUACAUUUCCCUCUUUUUCCUGAGACAGCUAACUUUGUAGGUAACUAUUCUGACUGUGCAAUUCAGGUGCCACUAGAGAGAUUUUCUGUUGAGGAUUAUUAGGAUUUUAUACAAUUGCAUAUUAUUUUUGAAAUGAGAGUUUGUGGUUUUAUGGGGAAUAACGAGCUCACGGCUCUUAGCAAAAUUAAUAUUUGUGUGAUGUGCACAUCCCGAUUUGAAAAGUGGGCACACAGUGUCCAUAGACAGAAGUCUCUGGAUUAACUGUAAUUUUGGGGGAAAUAGAGUAAAGGAAGGCAAAUUAAAAUAACAAACAAAAAAGAAAGAAAAAUGAAAAGAAAAGAAGAAAAGUACUUUGAAGGCACUUUUUCCAUAGGAAAAAAAUAUUUUAUUUUUUUAAGAACAAAUUCAGUUUGAAACA